Potamilus streckersoni is the source of this 72-nucleotide non-coding RNA. The record is from the annotation of a GenBank genome assembly. NCBI's taxonomy places the organism in Eukaryota, Metazoa, Mollusca, Bivalvia, Unionida, Unionidae.
UCUGGUGGCCUAGUGGUUAGAGCGUCCGCCUCAGAAGCGAUAGGACGCAGCUUCGAUCCUCGGCCGAGUCAU